GACGAACGCUGGCGGCGUGCCUAAUACAUGCAAGUAGAACGCUGAAGAGAGGAGCUUGCUCUUCUUGGAUGAGUUGCGAACGGGUGAGUAACGCGUAGGUAACCUGCCUUGUAGCGGGGGAUAACUAUUGGAAACGAUAGCUAAUACCGCAUAACAAUGGAUGACACAUGUCAUUUAUUUGAAAGGGGCAAUUGCUCCACUACAAGAUGGACCUGCGUUGUAUUAGCUAGUAGGUGAGGUAAUGGCUCACCUAGGCGACGGUACAUAGCCGACCUGAGAGGGUAAUCGGCCAAACUGGGACUGAGACACGGCCCAGACACCUACGGGAGGCAGCAGUAGGGAAUCUUCGGCAAUGGGGGCAACCCUGACCGAGCAACGCCGCGUGAGUGAAGAAGGUUUUCGGAUCGUAAAGCUCUGUUGUAAGUCAAGAACGGGUGUGAGAGUGGAAAGUUCACACUGUGACGGUAGCUUACCAGAAAGGGACGGCUAACUACGUG
Molecule: ribosomal RNA, 497 nt
Filed under: uncultured bacterium
Lineage: Bacteria
Description: partial 16S ribosomal RNA
Rfam family: Bacterial small subunit ribosomal RNA
Source: RNAcentral